Molecule: ribosomal RNA, 253 nt
Filed under: uncultured bacterium
Lineage: Bacteria
Description: partial 16S ribosomal RNA
Rfam family: Bacterial small subunit ribosomal RNA
Source: RNAcentral
UACGUAGGGUGCAAGCGUUAAUCGGAAUUACUGGGCGUAAAGCGUGCGCAGGCGGUUAUGUAAGACAGGGGUGAAAUCCCCGGGCUCAACCUGGGAACUGCAUUUGUGACUGCAUCGCUGGAGUGCGGCAGAGGGGGAUGGAAUUCCGCGUGUAGCAGUGAAAUGCGUAGAUAUGCGGAGGAACACCGAUGGCGAAGGCAAUCCCCUGGGCCUGCACUGACGCUCAUGCACGAAAGCGUGGGGAGCAAACAGG